GUGUUGUAUGAAAGGAAAGAAGGUUAGCACUCCUCUUGAUAAGGACGGAAGAGGCCCUUGGGCCUCACAACAAGGACACCUUAGCUCUGUCAGAGAUUCCAACUCUUACU
Fukomys damarensis (Damara mole-rat) is the source of this 110-nucleotide small nuclear RNA. NCBI's taxonomy places the organism in Eukaryota, Metazoa, Chordata, Mammalia, Rodentia, Bathyergidae. The record is from Ensembl.